UCUCGAACCAUCUCGCAUCCUCUCUCUCUCUCUCUACAUCUCCGAGUUGACUCGCCGGAGCACGGCCGCGCCAUGGGAGUCCCCGCCAUCUACCGGUGGCUCGCCGAUCGGUACCCGAGCUCGAUCGCCGACGUCGUCGAGGACGAGCCGGCCGAUCGACCCCUCAAGGCCCAAACCCUAACGGAAUAAAGUUCGACAACCUGUACCGCGACAUGAACGGGAUCAUCCAUCCGUGCUUUCACCCCGACGGCAGGGGUGCUAUCAAUUUACUAGUGAUGGUUUUUAGGAGGGAGUUCACUGCCAUGGGAGGUUACCUUACUGAAGCAGGCGAGGUCAUGUUAGACAGAGUAGAACAUUUUAUCCACUCUGUUGCUGUCUACGAAUAUCAAAAUUUUCAGAAGCAGGCUCGCAUACAGCAGGCAUCGGAGAAUAAUGAAGAAAUGAGAUCUAGAUCAAGAAGAGUCAUCAGAAGAAUUACAAAGUCCAGUUGUUGACAAGGUUAGAUUAAGGGAGCCUGGAUACAAGGAAAGGUAUUAUGCAGAGAAAUUUCAUGUGUCAACUCCUGAGGAGAUAGAGAGAGUUAAGAAGGAAACGGUUUUGAAAUACGUCGAAGGUUUAUGUUGGGUCUGUUGGUAUUAUUACCAAGGUGGUUGAUCCCGGCAAUGGUGAGUUUUACCAUUAAGGUCUGCAAGAAACAAUACUAAUCCAUCUUUACGUGCCUUUUAAUAGCGAUUACCCGAUUCCAUUGCCUAGAAUGUACUUAUAAACUGUGCGUAUUGGACGGUACUUUGAAGACCUCCUACUGGGAUAUUGAGCAAAAAUCUUGUUAUUUUGUUUAGUCAGAUGAAUCCUGCAUGCUUCAUUUUCUGGGUAGCUUUACUCGAAAUGUAUUGAAUAACCAUACUAUGAUUUCCCUACCGUCGUGCUCUUGUUAAGUUGCAAUUUGGUUUUCAUGCUACACUAGUUUUUAUUAGCCUAUUUUUUAUAUCUGAAUUAUUGAAAGUUGUAUACAUGCUUGUUCAAGUACUAUCCAUUCCAUCAUGCUCAAUUUGCUUCUGAUCUCGAGGAUUUAGCUGGCCUGGAGAUCACAUUCUUCUUGGGAGAGCCUUUCAAACCAUUUGAUCAGCUCAUGGGAACCUUACCAUCUGCAAGUGCAAGUGCUCUGC
Molecule: long non-coding RNA, 1166 nt
Organism: Eucalyptus grandis
Lineage: Eukaryota; Viridiplantae; Streptophyta; Magnoliopsida; Myrtales; Myrtaceae
Exons: 7
Source: RefSeq, a predicted model, not a curated record